RNAcentral lists this ribosomal RNA (700 nucleotides) under uncultured bacterium. RNAcentral's name for it is "bacterial SSU rRNA". It matches the Rfam family "Bacterial small subunit ribosomal RNA", at positions 57 to 754 of the family's 1533-position model. The record is from RNAcentral.
GCAGUCGAACGGCAAGUUUGGUAGCAAUAUCGAACCUAGAGCGACGUACGGGUGCGUAACACGUAUGCAACCUACCCUUUACAGGAGGAUAGCUCGGGGAAACUCGAAUUAACCCUCCAUAAGAUCAUAGAAUGGCAUCAUUUAGUGAUUAAAACUCAGGUGGUAAAGGAUGGGCAUGCGUCUGAUUAGUUAGUUGGCGGGGUAACGGCCCACCAAGACGAUGAUCAGUAGGGGACCUGAGAGGGUGAUCCCCCACACUGGCACUGAGAUACGGGCCAGACUCCUACGGGAGGCAGCAGUAGGGAAUAUUGGUCAAUGGAUGCAAGUCUGAACCAGCCAUGCCGCGUGCAGGAAGAAGGCCUUCUGGGUUGUAAACUGCUUUUACCAGGGGAUAAAAAUCUCAUGCGUGAGAAAUUGAAGGUACCUGGUGAAUAAGCCACGGCUAACUACGUGCCAGCAGCCGCGGUAAUACGUAGGUGGCAAGCGUUGUCCGGAUUUAUUGGGUUUAAAGGGUGCGUAGGCGGCCCUGUAAGUCAGUGGUGAAAUACUCUAGCUUAACUAGAGGGGUGCCAUUGAUACUGCAGGGCUUGAGUACAGAUGAGGUAGGCGGAAUUGACGGUGUAGCGGUGAAAUGCAUAGAUAUCGUCAAGAACUCCGAUAGCGAAGGCAGCUUACUAAGCUGUAACUGACGCUGAGGCAC